RNAcentral lists this transfer RNA (63 nucleotides) under Fukomys damarensis (Damara mole-rat). It matches the Rfam family "tRNA". From Rfam's summary of the family: Transfer RNA (tRNA) molecules are approximately 80 nucleotides in length. Their secondary structure includes four short double-helical elements and three loops (D, anti-codon, and T loops). The record is from Rfam by way of RNAcentral. Lineage: Eukaryota; Metazoa; Chordata; Mammalia; Rodentia; Bathyergidae.
GAGGAUGUGGCUCAGUGGUAGAGCACUUGCCUAGCACGCAGUAGACUCUAGGCUCCAUCCCCA